GUGCCAGCCGCCGCGGUAAUACCGGCAGCCCGAGUGAUGGCCGAUCUUAUUGGGCCUAAAGCGUCCGUAGCUGGCCAGCCAAGUUCGUCGGGAAAUCCACCUGCCCAACAGGUGGGCGUCCGGCGAAAACUGUCUGGCUUGGAACCGGAAGGCUCAGAGGGUACGUCGAGGGUAGGAGUGAAAUCCUGUAAUCCUCGACGGACCACCGAUGGCGAAAGCACUCUGAGAAGACGGAUUCGACAGUGAGGGACGAAAGCGAGGGUCUCGAACCGGAUUAGAUACCCGGGUAGUCC
This 293-nucleotide ribosomal RNA is filed under the name uncultured bacterium. RNAcentral's name for it is "partial 16S ribosomal RNA". It matches the Rfam family "Archaeal small subunit ribosomal RNA", at positions 455 to 747 of the family's 1478-position model. The record is from RNAcentral.